ACAACCAUAUCAUGUUGAAAUACCGGUUCCCAUACGAUCACCAAAGUUGAGCAAUGUUUAGCCUGGUCAGUAGCUAGAUGGGUGACUUCUUGGAAAUA
Acanthosepion pharaonis is the source of this 98-nucleotide non-coding RNA. The record is from the annotation of a GenBank genome assembly. Lineage: Eukaryota; Metazoa; Mollusca; Cephalopoda; Sepiida; Sepiidae.